UUACCUACGGGGGGCAGCAGUGAGGAAUAUUGGUCAAUGGGCGGGAGCCUGAACCAGCCAAGUCGCGUGAGGGACGACGGUCCUAUGGAUUGUAAACCUCUUUUGUCGGGGAACAAAGGCGCCCACGGGUGGGCGGAUGAGUGUACCCGAAGAAAAAGCAUCGGCUAACUCCGUGCCAGCAGCCGCGGUAAUACGGAGGAUGCGAGCGUUAUCCGGAUUUAUUGGGUUUAAAGGGUGCGUAGGCGGGCUUUUAAGUCAGCGGUAAAAAUUCGGGGCUCAACCCCGUCCGGCCGUUGAAACUGGGG
Molecule: ribosomal RNA, 305 nt
Filed under: uncultured bacterium
Lineage: Bacteria
Description: bacterial SSU rRNA
Rfam family: Bacterial small subunit ribosomal RNA
Source: RNAcentral